This 9530-nucleotide unclassified non-coding RNA is filed under the name Leishmania donovani. Its description in RNAcentral is "gene:LdHU3.23.0150(CDS-product:Concanavalin_A-lik e_lectin/glucanases_superfamily/Beige/BEACH_domain_containi ng_protein_putative)". The record is from RNAcentral. Lineage: Eukaryota; Euglenozoa; Kinetoplastea; Trypanosomatida; Trypanosomatidae.
UGUUGUGUGAUGCAGUCGGAGCUUAACUUUGAUCGUUUUUGAUUCUCUCUGUAUCUCUCACUUGCAGAUUUGGUUUUUUGUUCUGGAGGCCGUCGGCAUGUCUGUGAAGGGUGCUGCAGGCCCACCCCUCGUACCACCGGUUCAGCAUGCAAUCAUCCGUCAAUUCCGAGCUGCAGCGGCUUUGGCUGGAUGCGCGGUGCACCCCACCUACUGCGGCGCAACACAAUGACAAGGUGAGCGCGUUUCUCUCUGUGUUUGUUCCAACGUUCACUUCACGCAAGUCGCAAGCGUUCCGGGCUCUCUUCGGCGACGGCGCCGCUCUUUUAGGGCUGCUAUGCAGAGACUUCGCUACUCUCGCGCGCCGGUUAACUGACGAGGACGCCACAGUGGUCCCAACUUUAGCGACACUCGCAACCGUGCGGCUGUUCUCCCAAGCCUUGCGUCUUCUCAUCGGCGAUGACGCUCUUUCGAACACGGAGGUGGGACGGCUAGCCAGCGCUUACGAGAACUUCGGCAACUUCAACGUUGUCGCCCUAGCCCUCGUUCUUCACAACCGCCUCUUGCACGCAGUUCAAACGCAAGAGAGGGAUGCCGCUGAUUGGGGUGCGGUCGCCCAGACUGACGCCCGCCUCCUUCAGCUUGUCAGCGCCGUCGUGUCCUGCCGGCACAAAGAGCUGACGAGACGCUCGAUGCUCGAGGCCAUUCUUCCGGAACGCGUUGCCAGCGUUGCUAGGACGGCAGUGACGUACUUUUCUGCGCCAGAGGAAGCCGGGGUCGAGGCUGCCGAGGCGAGCAGCAGUAUUCUCCACCAGCAGCUCCCAAACGUCCUCGACGCGGACACGGUGGUUGAGACGCUGAGGGUGAUGGAGGGCGCACUGGUCUCGUCGCAGCGGCGCCCUUCCACCUCAGCCGCUGCGGUGUGGUCUUUCAACUGCUUUGCGUGCUUCCUAGAGAACAUCAUCUACGCCAAGCAACUCAUCGGAUUUUCGCCGGUAGAAAGUUUGAACUUCGACGUCAUCACGGCGACCGUGCUGAACCUUGAAAAGGAAGUCGGUGAGGACGGCAUGCCCGCCCUACAUCGCGUGGUGGGGAGUCUGCGUGUGCUAGCGCUUGCAGAGCGGCCUGACGUGUCGAGCCGACGGCCAUCCAACACGUCUUCUUUGGGCAGCAGUUUUUUCCGAAUCCUUCCCGCGACGGUAGGCAGAAUGCAGCAGCGCAUCGCGGGCUCGUGGGGCACUUCUGAGCAACGCGAGACGCCGCUAGGUGUUCACUGCGAGGGUGCCGUUGAAUCGCUGGCGCGCCUGUUCGUUCUCAGCACGCAGAGCCAAAUGACAGAGUUGUGUGGGCAGCAGCUUUUUCAGCUUCUCCUCAUGAGGGGCGUCUCGGCGGCGCUCUUAGGGCUCGUGCUCUCGAUCUGUGCUGAGAGUGCUCCACGCUUUGAGGCUUCAAACCUGUGCUCUCUGAUGGCUUUCGUCGGCAAGCUCCCGUGCAAGGGCGAGGUCGGCGAAUUCCUGAAAGCGAUUCUGGAUCAUCUUCGCUGCGGGCGGUUUUGUUUGCCGGAGCAGCGGCUGGCAGUGGUGGUCUUCUUCAUCGAUUGGUGCCCCAGGGCCAGCACGCACGUCGCCAUGUCGCUGGCGCUUGGUGUAGUGCAGGCCUGCGUACACUGCCUGUCGCAGCUCGCAGUCGACCCGCGCGCCGAUGGCUUGGAGACGUUUGCGGAGCACUUCUCUGUCUUGGCGAAGGUCGUGCUGGGGUCGAAGGAGGCGGCGGACUCGCUUAUUAGCGACAACUGCUGUGCCUCGCUGCUGCAGGUGAUGCUGGCAUCGCUUGAGUCGGGCCAGCUACACACCGCCGUGCUGCUGCGCGACGCCUUUGUGGGGCUGGUGAUGAAAACGAAUCUCUUCUGCGAUGUUCUUCUCGAACAAAUCGCGUCUGCCACGGAUGCGGACGCGUGGACGUCGAUGGCGACUCCGCUUCUUUCCACUCUAGUGCUGCUCCUACACUCCUGCGGCCGGUACAACCGAGCGUCUUUGCCGCACAACUGCAUCGAACUCUGCCUCUCGCUCAUGCAGGAUGUGGAGAGCCACAGUCAGCACCCGCCGGUCGAUCGCCAUCUUCUCGGCUGCUGUCUCAGCUUGUUGCUGACGCUCGUCAACUACAGUGAUGUGUGGGAACUGGUGGAGCGCACGGUGGGCACGCUGCCGGCCAACUGCGACCAUGUUCAGAGCAUGAUAGAUCUUUGCACAGGGGUGCUGCGCUCCAGCGAGAGUCUGGCCAUGGCCGAGCGGUACUUUACCGAACCUGCUGAGAUGAAGGAGCGGUGGUCGGCGCCGUGUUUUGUGCACUUUGGCCCCUUUGCCGUGAUGGAGGAACCGUAUAUUGAAAUGCUCUACCCAGUGAAACUGCUGGUCCACAUGGUGGAUACGAUGCUCACAGACCAGCACACCGAUGCAGCGAGCGGGACGGAGGCGACGGAGUACCUGAUGCUACACUCCGGCGUGACAGUGCCGAACUCGUACGUGGCAGAUUUCAUUGUACGCUGGGAGCGCUUCACGUGGAUUCGAUGCGUCUCGAAUGUGUACGAUCCGAAGCUGCUGCCGCUGUUCUUCACACGCGCCUCGACGUUAGCCACCGUCCAGAAGUGUCAGCGUGUGUGGCUGGAGGGGCUUGCCGAAAGUGUCGCCACCGGAGAAGUGCCGCACCACUACAACGACUACAUUCACCUAGGCGAGGGCGGCGGUGCUAAGGGGCUCGUGACAUCCUCUGGUGUUGUGUGGCCGCCGCUGGAUGCGUAUACUGCUGCGAUGUGGGUCUACAUGGAUCCCAUGCCCUCUGGCCGGCAUGAGGGACGUGUGGUGCUGUGGCAGCUAGAGUGGGAUGCGAUGGGGCGGCACGUGUGCUUGUCCCUCGUGGCGCAUACCCAGCGCAAGUGCUGCUUGUAUCGAUGCGACCUUGACGGUGACGUGACGGUGGUUGAAAUGCCCGCGCUGCCGGAGCAGCGGUGGGUUCAUGUGGUCACAUCGCAUGCCCGCGGCAAGAUGUUUGCGUCGCAGCUGAAAAUGUACUUUGAUGGGGUGGAGGUGGCAUGCAACGGGUGCCCUUACCCCGCCGGAGGGCUGCAGACGGCCGCCGCCGUGGCCGCAUCCCUCCCGUCCCUGCUGAGCCGCGAGGUGGAAGUCACGAUCGGAUCCCCGCAAGACACCCCAAGCACGCAAGCAACCUUGCGUCUCAUCAGUUUUCAGCUCUACGGCUGCGGUGCCUCGCUGCGGCAGAUUAGUUCCCUUUACGCGAUGGGGCCCUAUCCGUCUGGCCAAGUGUGGGACAGCGCAGGACAGCAGGUGUACGACCUGCACGCACCGUGCCUCUGCGACCAGGUCGUGCGGACCCUGGAGGCAUCUCUGCAGAGCGCUUCACUGGAGUCGAUUCUGCGGGAGCAGUGCGUGGUACUGGCCUUUCCUCCCACGAUGGCCCUUGUGCAGGUGCACGCGUUUGCUAUGGAGCAAAUCGACACAUCGUUCGGAUACUUGAACAACAAGCAGUGGGCACUCCGCAACCUCGCUGCGCCGGCCAUGUCUGUGCUGUGCCUUCACGGGUACUACCGUCCUCCCCGCGACAGCCGCACCACCAGUGUUGACGCGCUCCUGUGUAACGGGGCCUUUUACGAGUGGAUGCGGUGGAUGCGGUGCGUCUCUGCCGGUGUGCUCGCCGCAGAGCGAGAGAGGGACUCUGCGACGGAGACGGACAAUUCUGCCUCCUCGCCGGAGGGAAUAGAAGCAGGCCUCGCAGCGGUUCAGCAGACGGCGUGCAAUUCGCUGCGCGUGCUGAAUCUAAUCAAAAAGGCAGACAUGCUUCCACUGAACUGGCAACGGUUCAUGGUGCAGUUUGCCGAGCACGCCACCUGCCAUCCGCAGAUAUACCUGCAUCACGCCACCGCCGUCACACAGCUCCUGCAGCUGUGCAUGCAAACGGUACGCUACCGCGACAAGCACGGGCAUGCCGUGGAUGGGCAGCUGCUGUCGAACCUGCUGCCGCUGGAGCACAUCUUCUUUAACUGGCGCCUGCUCUCAAAUCUACCAGAUGACUCCUGGAUGACCAUUAUUGCGACGUUGCGGCAGUUGGUAUCGCCGUCGAACGCGUUGGCUGGGCUCAACACAGCACGCCUUCUCAUGGCGGACUUCGUUAACGGCUUUGUGCUAGGUCUUCUGCGCGAAUACGUGGCGUUUCCGCGGCUCGUAACGGCGAUCGAACUGGUGAAAUGCGUGUUGCUCACCAGCCAGGCGACGGAGGAGCUGAUGGAGCGAGUUUUGAUGGCAGCAGUGCUCACCGUUCCAGGUCCGAGCCAAGACGGAGCGACCAGCACGGUGGAGAGCCAUCUGGGCAGCAAGUUGGCCACCACGUCAUGUGUGUACCUCGUGCUGGCUCGGAACAUGCUUCUUCGUUGCCUGAACGAGGUGCUGGAGAUGACGUUGAAUGACGGCAACGGCGCCUUUCUCGCCACGUUCGUCUCGGUUGUGCCGGACUGGUGGUUCACGGCGAUGCUCUCGGGCAGCUCCCAUCCCGUCACCGCGACACUGACGCUGCGGCUCUUUGUGCUUUGCUUUCUGAACGCGAAGCCUUUCCGUGAAGCGUGCUCGGCGACAAAGGCGGAGUGCAUCUCGAGGGCGAUGGAGCCGCACUGCCACCAACGGGAGCUGAUGGACGUCCUUGUGCAGGGCUAUAUGGGCCACGUGUGGGCGCCGAGCUCGUCCCAUGCGGUCUACAGCACAGCGGGAUGGAGUGGCAAAACAGAGAUGGAGGGGUUGCUGGUGCUCAUCCUGCACCUCCUCAAGGCCCAGUGCCAGCUGCUGCUGCGCGGCACCCCCGUGACUUCGGAGGAAGUGACAGUUCGCGGUUACUUCAGUGCUGCAGCCGCUGAGGCCACCCGUGUUGUGGCGGGCAAUACCUCACCAUCGGCUGGCCGUUGGAGACGUGUUCGACUCGCACUUGCAGCGGUGCGCCGCCUGAAAAAAGCUGCCUGCGACAAGAAAGGGGCGAAGGCUGGCGGGUCCGUGGCGUGCUUGGAGGCGGCUGUGCAGUACACGGCCUCUAUCGACAGGCUGAAGAGCUUGGUGUGCGAGGUGCUUGAUUGGCUCACCCAGUCCUAUCAUCUCUCGAGAGCGCUCAGCAAGUCCCUCUACCAGAGCAACAACUCGGCCAACUUGUGUGAUUUUCUCAUGUGGCCGGUGCUCGUGGCGCUGUGCUCGAAGGAGCCGAUCUCUGCGCAGCCGAGGGCGAGCGUCGAGUUGCCAAACAGAGCUCGUGCGAAGGAGGAAGACGACACGGCAGCGUCCAGCAGUGGGGCUUCUACCGACGUGGACGAGGAGGAAGAGGAGGAGCAAUGGGAGGUGCUGCCAGACCCCACGACGUACGAGGCGCGCAGCUUCGGUUUGGACUCGAUGGGCCCGACGGAGGGAAUGGAGAAGGUGUACGACGCGUGCAUGAUGUUCUUCCUUACGUAUGCCGGAUCACGAGCGUCGAACGCCAGCUUUCUCACUAUUGCGGGAGGCCGCACGACCAUGAGCAAGUACGUGCUGUCUCUUCACCGCGCGCUGUCGGCAGAGGUCAAGGGCGCCGGCAACCAUGCUGAGGACGCUCGAAAAGCGUUCCUCUGCUUUGUGUGGCUCAAGGCGUCGGAGCAGGCGGUUGGCGGCGCGUCCGACGUCAGCGCCGCGGCGGUGAAGCGCAACGCCGUCGAGCUGGGCAAGUACAUGCUGGACCGCCUUGUCAGCGGAGGCGCCGUUCCGCCGGCGGCGAUCGCAGCCUUCUACCGAUUUUUGCUGGCUCGGUUGGAAUGCGACGCCAUGGUGGUGAAGAGUGCGCGCACGGCACUGUUUGAGUGGUUCAUGUACGUGACGAGUGCCUCCUUUUACAAGCUAGACGCUUCCAAGGUGGGUGUAGUCGUGGACAUGGCGUACAGCUGCGCUGACAUGCUCUUCUCUUACCCGAUGCCGGCGAUGGAGCUGCUGAAGGUCGUCGUUGGCAGGCUGCUUCAGGUGACGGUGUGCCUGUGGAACAGCAUCGUCGACGACAGCCACCCCGCCAUUCGAAAAAUGGCGGUGGUGUGGAAGGCGGUGCUGUGCGCGAAUGAGAAGAACACUUUUGUGGCCUCCCUCUUUGUGUGCGGUUCGCCGGAGGUGGACACAUUCCACAACGGCUUCGAUCUACUACUGCCACCCAUCGCGUCUCCAGAAGCGUUUACGAUUUGGAUGCGGCAACACCACGCCGAGGUUGCGCAGCUGCUUCAGUCUUAUAUGGGACUCUCGUACGCCUUUGUCAUGGCUAAUGGCGGCGAGCACCUGCGGCUGAUCACGCGUCACACGACCUCCUCCCUCGCCGAGUGGGACCGCCGCCGACGUCACGUGGCAGCUAUGGUGGCUGCGCACUGGCAGCUGUGGAAGGGCACCUUUAUGACGACUACCUUUGUCGACCCGGCACUGCUCGCGUGUACUGUGAGCCGAUACCCGCACUACUGCGUUUUCAACGGCGGCGGCGCCGCUGUCGAUGCCGAGGUUGCUGUGUGCUGCGAGUGGUCGAUGGAUGACAACGGAGCUGUUGGUCAAACUCGCCGCUACGUGACGGAGAACGUGGACGAGGUUGCCAGUGACCCGCUCAGUUUUUAUAUCCGCUACGCGCCGCCUGUAUGCUUGCCUCUGCGGCGGCAGGAAGCGCAAGGUCCAGCGUUGAUGUUGCGCCCCAACGCUCGCGAAUUGGUGGCAAAGGUGGCCGGCCGUGGACCGAGCGGGUCGGUUGUGUUUGUGAGCAACGCCUACCUUGUGCUGGGCACGGAGAGCUACAUUAGCACCUGCAUCCUUACGCGGCAAGAGCUGCUUGUCGUUACCUGCAGCGUGGUCACGCCAGCAGGCGAUUUUUUUGCGGAGCAGGUGCGAGUGCACACCGCCUCGCAGCACUCCCACGCCAAGCCGUCUCUACUGCAGCAGGCCUUCCGGCUCUUCAUUUCGGGACAAGGCAAAGGUAGUGGCAGCACAUCGUCGCAGGCCGCCUUCCGCUAUUCGCAGUACUACCGCCAGUUGCAAACCGAAUCUGCCAAAGGAAGCAACGCACUGGUGUGGCGCUUCCCGCUCGGCAGUAUCACGUCCGUACAUCAGCGCCUCUUUCAACACCUCUCGGCCGGGCUGGAGGUGGUGCUGGAGUCGGGCAAGUGUGUCUUUCUCGUACUAUUGGACGACGAGCUGUCCUUCUCAAAGGCGUCCCGUGACAGGCUCUUCGCGUACUUCGACAGCGACUCCGACCCUCUCAUGUCCGGCAUCGCUGCACACUCGAUGAGCGAGAAGCUGGUGAAGCUGGGCAUCUGGACGCGGCGGUGGGUGCGGCGGGAGUGCAGCAACUACAUGUACCUGCGCGUUUUAAACGACGCGGCGUCGCGGACUACGGCGAACCUCGGCCAGUAUCCGGUGAUGCCGUGGGUCCUGAGUCGAUACACGGAAAGCAUGCUCGAUCUUGGGGAUGCCAGCGCCUACCGCGAUCUCACCAAGCCGGUAGGGGCGCUGAACGAGUUGAAGGCAAAACAGCUGCAGGCGCGCUACGCGGAGUGGAUAGCUUGCGACCCGGUGGCAGACCCGCCAUACCACUACGGCACGCAUUACAGCACUGCCGCUAUUGUGUUGUACUACCUUAUUCGCCUACAGCCGUUCACCUCUCGCGCCAUUCGCUUCCAGGGCGGCAGGCUGGACAUCGCCGAUCGGCUCUUCCACAGCGUUGCAGAGGCGUGGGCAAAUGGUAGUGGGCGCAGCAGGGGGGAUGUGAAGGAGCUCAUUCCCGAGUUCUUUCGCGUUUCCGAUUUCCUGGAAAACCGCAACGAUGUGUGCCUCGGUACCCGCAGCGACGGCGCUGCGCUGGGCGAUGUUGUGCUGCCGCCGUGGUGUGGUGGGAGCGCUGCGCGGUUUGUGUAUAUGAAUGCGCUGUCUCUCGAGAGCGAAGCCGUGAGCCAACAGCUGCACCGGUGGAUCGACCUUAUCUUUGGCUGCAACCAGGUCGGGCAAGGGGCUGUGGAGGCGAUCAACGUGUUCAGUCCUCUGUCUUACAAGGAGGGAGUCGUUCGUGCUAUAAACCACGCCGCCACGGAGGAGGAGCGCAAGUCGAUUGUCGCCUCUGCCGACAACUUCGGCCAGACGCCGCUUCAGCUGUUCAGUAAAGAGGCACACCCGGCCCGCAAAGAUGCGCUGCGGGUGCGCACUACACAAGCGUAUAUGCUGGAGGCCGUUACGGACAUCACGUCGCGGCCGUGCUUGAGUGCGCAGGUCGUGGGAAAGUGCGAAGGCGGCAUCUCCACAGCUUUCGUUGCCGAUGACACGCUUUUUCUAUGCGACAGAUUGAGUGCCGUGGGCUCGGCAAAGCCGCCGCUCCUCUUCACCUACGAUCGCGACGUAGACAGCAUCGUGUGCACCACCGCACGAAGGGACCGCGUUUUGGCGACCAUACCACAAGUGCGAUCGUCGGGCAGCGGCUGCGUCCGUUGCCUGUGCGCCUCUGUGCGUGGCAGUGUCGUGUGCGUGGGUACAGACUCUGGAAAGGUGAUCGUGUACAGCCGCGAGAGUUGUCGGCAUCGCUUCUUCAUUGUGGCGGUGCUGGACUCCACCAUUGCUGCGGUGCUACAGGAGGCAGGCCCGGUGUCGAGUCUGCACCUCUUCGACGAAGGCAACUUGCUAGUGGCGUACGAGCGGGUUUCUGCGGUGUCUGGUUGGCAUCUCUCCAUCUUAUCCACCAACUUCACCUUCGCCGCGUCCUUUGCCACCCAAGCCGACAGCACCGCCGUGAAGGCCAUUUCCGCAGACAGCCACACGGGCCUGUACUACGCCGCCAAAGCAAACUCCCUUGUCAUCUUCUCUGCCUCUGGUGUGAUGCUCACACAGCUGAAGGUGGACGCACUCCUCAUGUCGGCCGCUCCCGAGUACGCGGCGCGGAUAGCCGACUCGCGCAUAACAGCGCUGCUGUUCGCGAACUGCUCCUCCUUCGCGUUCACGAAUCUGGUCCUCAUGGGGCAUUUCAACGGUACAGUUUCCCUGUGGUGCGUGGCGGCUUCCCAGACCAUUACCGGCGAGACACCGUCUUCCGAGGCGCCGCUCUGGUCUUUCCGAUGGCUGCACGAGGUUGUCUUUGACGCCCCCGUCACGUGCCUCGCAGCGUCUGCCGAGGAACUCAGCUUUGUGGUGGGGCUCGCUAACCGUACUGCACACUACAUCUCGUUUCCCACAUCGGGGCUCGACAGCUCAUAGCACUGACGACUUGUCACACGCAUCCAACGCACUAAGGGACACACGUACACGAGGUCCCUGACUGGACGUCUUUCCAGAACCAUUUCACCAGCGCGGAAGAGCUCGCCGCCUCCCUCCUCUACUCGCUCUUCAGAAUACGGGUUUCCACUUCUCUCCAGGGCUCAUACGGUGCUAUUCCCCCGCGUGCCAUUCUCCCAUCGCCGCCCUCCGCAAGAGGUCCGUUGGCGCUCACAUCAUUCUUUCCCCUCACUUCGAAAG